This 429-nucleotide ribosomal RNA is filed under the name Pseudomonadota bacterium. Its description in RNAcentral is "Proteobacteria bacterium partial 16S ribosomal RNA". It matches the Rfam family "Bacterial small subunit ribosomal RNA", at positions 355 to 776 of the family's 1533-position model. The record is from RNAcentral. Lineage: Bacteria; Pseudomonadati; Pseudomonadota.
UGGGGAAUAUUGGACAAUGGGCGAAAGCCUGAUCCAGCCAUGCCGCGAGUGUGAAGAAGGUCUUCGGAUUGUAAAGCACGUUAAGUUGGGAGGAAGGGCAGUAAGCGAAUACCUUGCUGUUUUGACGUUACCGACAGAAUAAGCACCGGCUAACUCUGUGCCAGCAGCCGCGGUAAUACAGAGGGUGCAAGCGUUAAUCGGAAUUACUGGGCGUAAAGCGCGCGUAGGUGGUUCGUUAAGUUGAAUGUGAAAGCCCCGGGCUCAACCUUGGAACUGCAUCCAUUACUGGCGUGCUAGAGUAGGGCAGAGGGUGGUGGAAUUUCCUGUGUAGCGGUUAAAUGCGUGGAUAUAGGAAGGAACACCAGUGGCGUAGUCGACCACCUGGGCUCAUUCUGACACUGAGGUGCGAAAGCGUGGGGAGCAAACAGG